This 556-nucleotide non-coding RNA is filed under the name Pongo abelii (Sumatran orangutan). The record is from RNAcentral. Lineage: Eukaryota; Metazoa; Chordata; Mammalia; Primates; Hominidae.
GAAGGCGGCCAUGAGCCCGUUGCAGGCCCGCCACAGGGCCGGCGCCAUGGGUCGGACAGCGCGGCGCGGGGCGGUGAGGCCCCUAAGGUAAAAGCCAUGCUCCAAGUCCCCUUCUGACUUCUAGUCACUUCCUUGCUGCCAGCAGAGGGCAUGGGAUUCUUCCUGAGGAGCCUGAGUCUCAGCUUUGCCAGGUCCUUGCUGUGUGACCUUGGGCACCUGUGCUCCCUUGACAAAGAGGAAUAAAACCUCUUCAUACUACUCUCCUUUUGAUUCUCUCCUGGAACAUAUGACCACCAUCAAUUAUAGGCAAGAACAUGAACACGGGAGUCCCAAAGACCUGGGUUCAAAUGUCAGGCCCUUCACUCGCUGGCUGUAGGUGUGAGGCCCUGGCUCCUGUGGGGCUACUGCAGAGGGGAAACUUCUGGAACAGAGAGCUCCUUGUCCAGGGACACUGCAUCUGGGUGAGCUGCUCCUUGGAUAUGGUGCAAGUGUGGCCAGGGUGUGGUGUGAAAGGAGCAGAAGUUUUCAGGACUGAAUCUGGACGGACCACUGUGGC